UCUCAUUUAUACGACACAAUCCCUACCUCUACCGUGUCCUUACAACUCCAUAGUUGCGCCAGUUUGAAUAAAUUUCCUUAAAACGUG
RNAcentral lists this small RNA (87 nucleotides) under Alkalibacterium sp. 20. RNAcentral's name for it is "BsrC". It matches the Rfam family "BsrC". Rfam says of the family: The 301 nucleotide sequence from Kouji Nakamura has been trimmed to a highly conserved ~85 nucleotide long core to form this family. The record is from Rfam by way of RNAcentral. Lineage: Bacteria; Bacillati; Bacillota; Bacilli; Lactobacillales; Carnobacteriaceae.